UCCUCCGUGGCGCAAUUGGCUAGCGCGUCUGACUGUUAAACCCAAUGGUUCGGCGAUCAGGAGGUUCGUGGUUCGAGCCCACGCGGGGGAG
This 91-nucleotide transfer RNA is filed under the name Paraphaeosphaeria sporulosa. It matches the Rfam family "tRNA". Rfam says of the family: Transfer RNA (tRNA) molecules are approximately 80 nucleotides in length. Their secondary structure includes four short double-helical elements and three loops (D, anti-codon, and T loops). Further hydrogen bonds mediate the characteristic L-shaped molecular structure. tRNAs have two regions of fundamental functional importance: the anti-codon, which is responsible for specific mRNA codon recognition, and the 3' end, to which the tRNAs corresponding amino acid is attached (by aminoacyl-tRNA synthetases). tRNAs cope with the degeneracy of the genetic code in two manners: having more than one tRNA (with a specific anti-codon) for a particular amino acid; and 'wobble' base-pairing, i.e. permitting non-standard base-pairing at the 3rd anti-codon position. The record is from Rfam by way of RNAcentral. Lineage: Eukaryota; Fungi; Ascomycota; Dothideomycetes; Pleosporales; Didymosphaeriaceae.